Molecule: ribosomal RNA, 490 nt
Filed under: uncultured bacterium
Lineage: Bacteria
Description: partial 16S ribosomal RNA
Rfam family: Bacterial small subunit ribosomal RNA
Source: RNAcentral
AUUGAACGCUGGCGGCAGGCCUAACACAUGCAAGUCGAAUGGUAACAGGAACCAGCUUGCUGUUUCGCUGACGAGUGGCGGACGGGUGAGUAAUGUCUGGGAAACUGCCUGAUGGAGGGGGAUAACUACUGGAAACGGUAGCUAAUACCGCAUAACGUCGCAAGACCAAAGAGGGGGACCUUCGGGCCUCUUGCCAUCAGAUGUGCCCAGAUGGGAUUAGCUAGUAGGUGGGGUAACGGCUCACCUAGGCGACGAUCCCUAGCUGGUCUGAGAGGAUGACCAGCCACACUGGAACUGAGACACGGUCCAGACUCCUACGGGAGGCAGCAGUGGGGAAUAUUGCACAAUGGGCGCAAGCCUGAUGCAGCCAUGCCGCGUGUAUGAAGAAGGCCUUCGGGUUGUAAAGUACUUUCAGCGGGGAGGAAGGGAGUAAAGUUAAUACCUUUGCUCAUUGACGUUACCCGCAGAAGAAGCACCGGCUAACUCCGUG